Molecule: unclassified non-coding RNA, 1437 nt
Filed under: Orbicella faveolata
Lineage: Eukaryota; Metazoa; Cnidaria; Anthozoa; Scleractinia; Merulinidae
Description: uncharacterized LOC110055886, transcript variant X3
Source: RNAcentral
UAAUAGAUUCACUACAUUCGUCCUGUCUGUUUUUAAAGUUACCUUCUGCUCGCUUGGAUUGUGGGGACAUCAAACAUGGAACUACAUUCCUCGAGUUCUAUUCAGCGCAAUUUGUAUUUUUCCCACCGUUUUUUGGAUCUUCAAUUUCAACAGAAUUUCUCGUCAAGAUAUUACUACGCCUGAUACUAGUGCUGAAAUAAUAUGUUUUACAUUAUUAGUUCCUCUUGCCGGUCUUCUCUCUUAUAUUGUUUUCACUGAUUGUUUUAUCGCAGCGGGGCGUAAAGACUCGGCCUUGGUAUCUCCAUCUGAAACGAUGAUGCUGGAUAUUCAAAGAACGGACAUCUUCUUGUUAUUUCUCGCUUUUGUUUUCAUUAUUAUUUCUUUUUUAAGCACGUGGGUCCUUUCUCUCAAAAUACAACCCACCGAUGUCCCUGAUGAAGCGGCUUUUACAGUACAGUACUUGGCUCAUUGGACAUCAGUCACCACUUGUCUCGUCUUCGCUGUCAGUUCCUUUACACUCGGUACUAUUGCACAAGACGCCUUCAGGCUAAUCCGGGAUGUUCAGAAUGGAACCCUUGAUGACGUGAUAAGAAUUCAUGAACAUCUGUGUACAGUUGUUUUCAAUACAGUAUCAGCUUACAGCGUUUGGUUUGUGCUACACUGGUUUACUUAUGGAGCAGCCGUCGUUGUUACCGUCAUACUUUUGUCAGAAGGGUCUUCCUCGCUUUAGCCUUUGUUGGUCUUCUAUACCUGUUUGUAUUACCCUGUUUCUGUGCGGCCAGGAUCACAAGUAGCUGUGCUGGAAUCUACGAGAGAAUCAACUGCACCACAUCUGAUGACUGGAAUGAAGGCCAUCCGUUCACAGAUCGCCGCAACAUCGCUCUGUUUAUUUCCUACGCUAAGGACAGGCGCUGUGGGUUUAAAGUUUGUAGAAUCACGUUUGAUACUGCUCUGACCUGGGUUUCCUUUUUUCUUGGACUAACUGCUUUGCUGUUUCACUUUUUGCAAUUAAAAAACUAACACGAUCGAGAAAAAGACGGCUAGGGUUGUCAGGAAACCUUAGGUUGCAAAUUGAAAAAUCUGUAAACGAAACAUCAUUUCCAGUUGGUUAAAAAAGCCGCCAUUUUGAAUUUAAAAGAUGCUAAGGACCAAAAAGGCCCAACGAGAUUUUGUUAGUAGCAGGAAAUCCAUCAAGGGUUUCUAUGCGUGAUAGAAACCUCGAGCUCAUAAUCUAAUUGUUACUUAGAAAACAGCCUUAAGAAAAUACACGCGCUGAUUGGUUAAAAAUCGUAUUUCUAUUAAGCAAUUAGAUUAUGAGCUCGAAUUUCUAUCGCUGCGCCUUCGUCAACUUUCACGCAUUGAACUCGAGAGCGAAUAAUCUAAUUGUUUUAGUAUAAAUCUACCAGUCGUUCAAAACUUAAUCUAAAUCCUCUUCAC